AUUGCCUCAGUAACGGCGAGUGAAGCGGCAUAAGCUCAAAUUUGAAAUCUGGCUCUUUCAGGGUCCGAGUUGUAAUUUGUAGAAGAUACUUCGGGUGUGGUACCGGUCUAAGUUCCUUGGAACAGGACGUCAUAGAGGGUGAGAAUCCCGUAUGUGACCGGUGGCCUACGCCCAUGUGAAGUUCUUUCGACGAGUCGAGUUGUUUGGGAAUGCAGCUCAAAAUGGGUGGUAAAUUUCAUCUAAAGCUAAAUAUUGGCCAGAGACCGAUAGCGCACAAGUAGAGUGAUCGAAAGAUGAAAAGCACUUUGGAAAGAGAGUUAAACAGUACGUGAAAUUGUUGAAAGGGAAGCGCUUGCAAUCAGACUUGCGCCUAGUUGAUCAUCUGGGCUUCUGUCCAGUGCACUCGAUUAGGCUCAGGCCAGCAUCGGUUUGAGUGGUUGGAUAAAGGCUUAGGGAACGUGGCCUCUCUCGGGAGGUGUUAUAGCCCUAGGUGCAAUGCAGCCUACUUGGACCGAGGACCGCGCUUCGGCUAGGAUGCUGGCGUAAUGGUUGUAAGCGACCCGUCUUGAAACACGGACCAAGGAGUCUAACAUUUAUGCGAGUAUUUGGGUGUUAAACCCAUAUGCGUAAUGAAAGUGAACGGAGGUAAGAACUCUUAAGAGUGCAUUAUCGACCGAUCCUGAUGUCUUCGGAUGGAUUUGAGUAAGAGCAUAACUGUUGGGACCCGAAAGAUGGUGAUCUAUACGUGAAUAGGGUGAAGCCAGAGGAAACUCUGGUGGAGGCUCGCAGCGGUUCUGACGUGCAAAUCGAUCGUCAAAUUUGCGUAUAGGGGCGAAAGACUAAUCGAACCAUUGAAAGGACGGCUUCUAGGUGGUUAAGAGGUUUAACCUAACCUAGUCCUACCUUACGUAGGGCAACAUUGUCAAAUUGUCGGGGACCACCUGCUGAAUGUCAAGCUACCGCAGCCUCUUCGAAAGAGGGGUGCGCACCGGGGUGUAACAGCUCCGGGGAUGGUAAGAAUGCUUGAAUAGGGUGCAUCCGCAGCGAAUUCCUAAGGCCCUCCCAGGGGCUACGGAGGUCGUUCACAGACUAGACGGCAGUGGGCUUGGGCAUGCUGCAGAGUAUGCCUAGGCUUAAGAUAUAGUCGAACCCCGCAGAGAUGCGCG
Molecule: ribosomal RNA, 1166 nt
Filed under: Lambertella subrenispora
Lineage: Eukaryota; Fungi; Ascomycota; Leotiomycetes; Helotiales; Rutstroemiaceae
Description: LSU rRNA
Rfam family: Eukaryotic large subunit ribosomal RNA
Source: RNAcentral